CCUACGUGCGGCAGCAGUGGGGACUCUUGCGCAAUGCUCGUAAGAGUGACGCAGCGACGCCGCGUGAAUGCCGAAGGCCUUCGGGUCGUAAAGUUCUUUCGACAGGGAAGAAAAUGCAUAUAAGUAACUGUUUAUGUAUUGACUGUACCUGUAUAAGCAGCCCCCGCUAACUCCGUGCCAGCCGCCGCUGUAAUACGGCGGUGGCGAGCGUUGUUCGGAGUUACUGGGCGUAAAGAGAACGUAGGGGGUGGUGUAAGUCAUUAGUCAAAGAGUAGAGCUCAACUUUAGUAAGGCUAGUGAUACUAUAAUACUAGAGUAUCAGAGAGGAUUGCAGAAUUCCUGGUGUAGCGGUGAAAUGCGUAGAUAGCAGGAGGAAUACCGAUAGCGAAGGCGGCAAUCUGGCUGGAAACUGACGCUGAGGUGCGAAAGCGUGGGUAGCAAACAGGAUUAGAUACCCCUGUAGUC
This 465-nucleotide ribosomal RNA is filed under the name uncultured bacterium. Its description in RNAcentral is "partial 16S ribosomal RNA". It matches the Rfam family "Bacterial small subunit ribosomal RNA", at positions 338 to 795 of the family's 1533-position model. The record is from RNAcentral.